RNAcentral lists this ribosomal RNA (273 nucleotides) under Triticum aestivum (bread wheat). RNAcentral describes it as "partial small subunit ribosomal RNA". Lineage: Eukaryota; Viridiplantae; Streptophyta; Magnoliopsida; Poales; Poaceae. The record is from RNAcentral.
AUGCGGUGCCCACUGAUAUGCAACUGGGCUGUUGAGUUUCAUUUGCCACAUCGCGUGUCUCGUCAGUUUGGUCUGUUCCAGCCUCACCCGCCGGAAUGGGUGGAUACGGACAAAGCACUUCAUAGGUUGGACAGGAGAAGGCAGCGGAAGAUAAAGGACUGGGACAAGCAUCAUGCUUCGUAUGUUACCCGCUUCCAGCUUUGUGUGGAGGAAGCUCGUAGCAGUGCACGCGCCAAGCUUCGUGAGCAUAGUCAAGUUGCUUUUGAUAACUAG